GCGCCCGUAGCUCAACAGGAUAGAGCAUCUGCCUUCUAAGCAGAGGGUUGCCUGUUCGAUUCAGGCCGGGCGCGCUA
This 77-nucleotide transfer RNA is filed under the name Candidatus Omnitrophota bacterium. RNAcentral's name for it is "Candidatus Omnitrophica bacterium tRNA-Arg". It matches the Rfam family "tRNA". Rfam says of the family: Transfer RNA (tRNA) molecules are approximately 80 nucleotides in length. Their secondary structure includes four short double-helical elements and three loops (D, anti-codon, and T loops). RNAcentral also lists the same sequence under 1 other name. Lineage: Bacteria; Pseudomonadati; Candidatus Omnitrophota. The record is from RNAcentral.